This 768-nucleotide ribosomal RNA is filed under the name Tethyidae sp. 1 JV-2020. RNAcentral's name for it is "partial large subunit ribosomal RNA". Lineage: Eukaryota; Metazoa; Porifera; Demospongiae; Tethyida; Tethyidae. The record is from RNAcentral.
UCCCUCAGUAACGGCGAGCGAAGUGGGAAGAGCUCGAGCCUGAAAUCACUGGCAGUUGCUGCCAGAGAAUUGUGGCCGGGAGAGGCAGCGGUGCCCCAACCGAUGCUGUCGAAGUUGACCUGGAAAGGCACGUCAGAGAGGGUGAGAGCCCCGUGCGCGACACCAUUGGGAAGGGCYGCUACUGUCUUCGGAGAGUCGGGUUGUUUGGGAAUGCAGCCCAAAAUGGGUGGUAAACUCCAUCUAAAGCUAAAUACUGGCACGAGACCGAUAGCGAACAAGUACCAUGAGGGAAAGGUGAAAAGUACUUUGAAAAGAGAGUCAAAAAGACCGCAAAACCGUUAGGAGGGAAGCGAAUGCAGCUGAAGUAGUUCUCUUCCAGGCUCAGGAGGCGUUGUCUCGGUCUGCUGGCUGGCGGAAACCGUACGGUGCCGCGGGUCGGACGGCCGAGCGACCAAUCUGCACUCCUGGAGAGAGCUGGCCAACGACAGUUGCUUGCGGCUCACAAGGGCGGCUGGGUAGGUAGCUCCUCCCUCUCGGAGGAGAACUUAUAGCCGGCCGUCUGGCAGACUGCRAGCGACUGAGGAGAGUUGUGAACCUUCACACGUGCAGUGCAGGCCCUCUUGGGCCGGGUCACCUCUAUCCGUUUGGGCACCGCUGUGGGGACUGCUUGCAGUGUCCGCUGACGAAUGUCUGCUCGGUUGGGGGGAUGUCCACUCCUUGCACUGUAGUCGUUGGUGUCCAAAUGGCUGCAUCCGACCCGUCUUGAAA